CGCGGCCUAUCAGCUUGUUGGUGAGGUAAUGGCUCACCAAGGCUUCGACGGGUAGCCGGCCUGAGAGGGCGACCGGCCACACUGGGACUGAGAUACGGCCCAGACUCCUACGGGAGGCAGCAGUGGGGAAUAUUGCACAAUGGGCGCAAGCCUGAUGCAGCAACGCCGCGUGCGGGAUGACGGCCUUCGGGUUGUAAACCGCUUUCAGUAGGGACGAAGCUAACGUGACGGUACCUACAGAAGAAGGACCGGCUAACUACGCGCCAGCAGCCGCGGCGAUACGUAGGGUCCGAGCGUUGUCCGGAAUUAUUGGGCGUAAAGGGCCUGUAGGCGGUCCGUCGCGUCAGGAGUGAAAACUCGGGGCUUAACCCCGAGCCUGCUUUUGAUACGGGCGGACUAGAGGGAUGCAGGGGAGAACGGAAUUCCUGGUGGAGCGGUGGAAUGCGCAGAUAUCAGGAGGAACACCGGUGGCGAAGGCGGUUCUCUGGGCAUCACCUGACGCUGAGAAGCGAAAGCGUGGGGAGCAAACAGGCUUAGAUACCCUGGUAGUCCACGCCGUAAACGGUGGGCACUAGGUGUGGGGGACAUUCCACGUUCUCCGUGCCGAAGCUAACGCAUUAAGUGCCCCGCCUGGGGAGUACGG
RNAcentral lists this ribosomal RNA (643 nucleotides) under uncultured bacterium. Its description in RNAcentral is "bacterial SSU rRNA". It matches the Rfam family "Bacterial small subunit ribosomal RNA", at positions 232 to 885 of the family's 1533-position model. The record is from RNAcentral.